Molecule: ribosomal RNA, 497 nt
Filed under: uncultured bacterium
Lineage: Bacteria
Description: partial 16S ribosomal RNA
Rfam family: Bacterial small subunit ribosomal RNA
Source: RNAcentral
GAUGAACGCUGGCGGCGUGCCUAAUACAUGCAAGUCGAGCGAACAGACAAGGAGCUUGCUCCUCUGACGUUAGCGGCGGACGGGUGAGUAACACGUGGAUAACCUACCUAUAAGACUGGGAUAACUUCGGGAAACCGGAGCUAAUACCGGAUAAUAUAUUGAACCGCAUGGUUCAAUAGUGAAAGACGGUUUUGCUGUCACUUAUAGAUGGAUCCGCGCCGCAUUAGCUAGUUGGUAAGGUAACGGCUUACCAAGGCAACGAUGCGUAGCCGACCUGAGAGGGUGAUCGGCCACACUGGAACUGAGACACGGUCCAGACUCCUACGGGAGGCAGCAGUAGGGAAUCUUCCGCAAUGGGCGAAAGCUUGACGGAGCAACGCCGCGUGAGUGAUGAAGGUCUUCGGAUCGUAAAACUCUGUUAUUAGGGAAGAACAAAUGUGUAAGUAACUAUGCACGUCUUGACGGUACCUAAUCAGAAAGCCACGGCUAGCUACGUG